This 378-nucleotide ribosomal RNA is filed under the name uncultured bacterium. RNAcentral describes it as "bacterial SSU rRNA". It matches the Rfam family "Bacterial small subunit ribosomal RNA", at positions 521 to 898 of the family's 1533-position model. The record is from RNAcentral.
UAAUACGUAGGGGGCAAGCGUUGUCCGGAAUCAUUGGGCGUAAAGCGCGCGCAGGCGGUCCCUUAAGUCUGAUGUGAAAGCCCACGGCUCAACCGUGGAGGGCCAUUGGAAACUGGGGGGCUUGAGUGCAGGAGAGGAGAGUGGAAUUCCUGGUGUAGCGGUGAAAUGCGUAGAGAUCAGGAGGAACACCGAUGGCGAAGGCAGCUCUCUGGCCUGUAACUGACGCUGAGGCGCGAAAGCGUGGGGAGCAAACAGGAUUAGAUACCCUGGUAGUCCACGCCGUAAACGAUGAGUGCUAGGUGUUAGAGAUUUUGAACCUUUAGUGCCGAAGUUAACACAUUAAGCACUCCGCCUGGGGAGUACGGUCGCAAGACUGAA